GAUGAACGCUGGCGGCGUGCCUAAUACAUGCAAGUCGAGCGAACAGACGAGGAGCUUGCUCCUCUGACGUUAGCGGCGGACGGGUGAGUAACACGUGGAUAACCUACCUAUAAGACUGGGAUAACUUCGGGAAACCGGAGCUAAUACCGGAUAACAUGUUGAACCGCAUGGUUCAACAGUGAAAGACGGUCUUGCUGUCACUUAUAGAUGGAUCCGCGCCGCAUUAGCUAGUUGGUAAGGUAACGGCUUACCAAGGCAACGAUGCGUAGCCGACCUGAGAGGGUGAUCGGCCACACGGGAACUGAGACACGGUCCAGACUCCUAAGGGAGGCAGCAGUAGGGAAUCGUCCGCAAUGGGCGAAAGCCUGACGGAGCAACGCCGCGUGAGUGAAGAAGGUCUUCGGAUCGUAAAACUCUGUUAUUAGGGAAGAACAAAUGUGUAAGUAACUAUGCACGUCUUGACGGUACCUAAUCAGAAAGCCACGGCUAACUACGUG
RNAcentral lists this ribosomal RNA (497 nucleotides) under uncultured bacterium. Its description in RNAcentral is "partial 16S ribosomal RNA". It matches the Rfam family "Bacterial small subunit ribosomal RNA", at positions 28 to 507 of the family's 1533-position model. The record is from RNAcentral.